Molecule: ribosomal RNA, 465 nt
Filed under: uncultured bacterium
Lineage: Bacteria
Description: partial 16S ribosomal RNA
Rfam family: Bacterial small subunit ribosomal RNA
Source: RNAcentral
GACGAACGCUGGCGGCGUGCUUAACACAUGCAAGUCGUACGGUAAGGCCCUUUCGGGGGUACACGAGUGGCGAACGGGUGAGUAACACGUGAGUAACCUGCCCACAACUUUGGGAUAACGCUAGGAAACUGGUGCUAAUACUGGAUAUGUGCUCCUGCUGCAUGGUGGGGGUUGGAAAGCUCCGGCGGUUGUGGAUGGACUCGCGGCCUAUCAGCUUGUUGGUGGGGUAGUGGCCUACCAAGGCGGCGACGGGUAGCCGGCCUGAGAGGGUGACCGGCCACAUUGGGACUGAGGUACGGCCCAGACUCCUACGGGAGGCAGAAGUGGGGAAUAUUGCACAAUGGGCGCAAGCCUGAUGCAGCAACGCCGCGGGCGGGAUGACGGCCUUCGGGUUGUAAACCGCUUUCAGCAGGGACGAAGCUUUUUGUGACGGUACCCGCAGAAGAAGCACCGGCUAACUACGUG